GGGGAUAUAGCUCAGCUGGUAGAGUGCUUGCCUCACAUGCACGAGGUCCUGGGUUUGAUCCCCAGCACCA
This 70-nucleotide transfer RNA is filed under the name Ictidomys tridecemlineatus (thirteen-lined ground squirrel). Its description in RNAcentral is "Spermophilus tridecemlineatus (thirteen-lined ground squirrel) tRNA". It matches the Rfam family "tRNA". From Rfam's summary of the family: Transfer RNA (tRNA) molecules are approximately 80 nucleotides in length. Their secondary structure includes four short double-helical elements and three loops (D, anti-codon, and T loops). Lineage: Eukaryota; Metazoa; Chordata; Mammalia; Rodentia; Sciuridae. The record is from Rfam by way of RNAcentral.